RNAcentral lists this ribosomal RNA (465 nucleotides) under uncultured bacterium. RNAcentral's name for it is "partial 16S ribosomal RNA". It matches the Rfam family "Bacterial small subunit ribosomal RNA", at positions 28 to 507 of the family's 1533-position model. The record is from RNAcentral.
GACGAACGCUGGCGGUGUGCUUAACACAUGCAAGUCGAACGGAAAGGCCCUGCUUGCAGGGUACUCGAGUGGCGAACGGGUGAGUAACACGUGGGUGAUCUGCCCUGCACUUCGGGAUAAGCCUGGGAAACUGGGUCUAAUACCGGAUAGGAGCCAUUUUUAGUGUGAUGGUUGGAAAGUUUUUUCGGUGUAGGAUGAGCUCGCGGCCUAUCAGCUUGUUGGUGGGGUAAUGGCCUACCAAGGCGGCGACGGGUAGCCGGCCUGAGAGGGUGGACGGCCACAUUGGGACUGAGAUACGGCCCAGACUCCUACGGGAGGCAGCAGUGGGGAAUAUUGCACAAUGGGCGCAAGCCUGAUGCAGCGACGCCGCGUGGGGGAGGACGGCCUUCGGGUUGUAAACUCCUUUCGCUAGGGACGAAGCUUUUUGUGACGGUACCUAGUGAAGAAGCACCGGCUAACUACGUG